This 403-nucleotide ribosomal RNA is filed under the name Fusobacteriota bacterium. RNAcentral's name for it is "Fusobacteria bacterium partial 16S ribosomal RNA". It matches the Rfam family "Bacterial small subunit ribosomal RNA", at positions 355 to 776 of the family's 1533-position model. Lineage: Bacteria; Fusobacteriati; Fusobacteriota. The record is from RNAcentral.
UGGGGAAUUUUGCACAAUGGAGGAAACUCUGAUGCAGCGACGCCUCGUGAAUGAUGAAGAUCUUCGGAUUGUAAAACUCUGUCCUUAGCGAAGAUAAUGACAGUAACUAAGAAGCAAGCCCUGGCUAAAUACGUGCCAGCAGCCGCGGUAAUACGUAUGGGGCAAGCGUUGUCCGGAAUUAUUGGGCGUAAAGGGUACGUAGGCGGUUUAAUAAGUCCUAAUUAAAAGGCUAUGGCUCAACCAUAGUAUGGUUAGGAAACUGUUGAACUUGAGUAGAUGAGGGGAAAGUGGAAUUCCAUGUGUAGCGGUGAAAUGCGUAGAUAUAUUGAGGAACACCAAUGGCGAAGGCAACUUUCUGGAAUCAAACUGACGCUGAAGUACGAAGGCGUGGGGAGCAAACAGG